Molecule: ribosomal RNA, 265 nt
Filed under: uncultured archaeon
Lineage: Archaea
Description: partial 16S ribosomal RNA
Rfam family: Archaeal small subunit ribosomal RNA
Source: RNAcentral
ACAGUCACACAUUAGAUACCCCUGUAGUCCUGGCCGUAAACGAUGUGGACUUGGUGUUGGAAUGGCUCCGAGCUGCUCCAGUGCCGAAGGGAAGUUGUUAAGUCUGCUACUUGGGGAGUACGUCCGCAAGGAUGAAACUUAAAGGAAUUGGCGGGGGAGCACCGCAACGGGAGGAGCGUGCGGUUUAAUUGGAUUCAACACCGUAAAACUCACCAGGGAAGACUGUUACAUGAAGGCCGAGAUGAAGACUCUGCUAGAUUUUCAG